GUAGGUGGCAAGCGUUGUCCGGAAUUAUUGGGCGUAAAGCGCGCGCAGGCGGUUCUUUAAGUCUGAUGUGAAAGCCCACGGCUCAACCGUGGAGGGUCAUUGGAAACUGGAGAACUUGAGUACAGAAGAGGAAAGCGGAAUUCCACGUGUAGCGGUGAAAUGCGUAGAGAUGUGGAGGAACACCAGUGGCGAAGGCGGCUUUCUGGUCUGUAACUGACGCUGAGGCGCGAAAGCGUGGGGAGCAAACAGGGAUUAGAUACCCUGGUAGUCCACGCCGUAAACGAUGAGUGCUAAGUGUUAGGGGGUUUCCGCCCCCUUAGUGCUGCAGCUAACGCAUUAAGCACUCCGCCUGGGUAGUACGGCCGCAAGGCUG
Molecule: ribosomal RNA, 373 nt
Filed under: uncultured organism
Description: partial 16S ribosomal RNA
Rfam family: Bacterial small subunit ribosomal RNA
Source: RNAcentral